UCCUAAGGUAGCGAAAUUCCUUGUCGGUUAAAUACCGACCUGCAUGAAUGGCGUAACGAGAUGGGAGCUGUCUCAAAGAGGGAUCCAGUGAAAUUGUAGUGGAGGUGAAAAUUCCUCCUACCCGCGGCAAGACGGAAAGACCCCGUGGACCUUUACUACAGCUUGACACUGCUACUUGGAUAAGAAUGUGCAGGAUAGGUGGGAGGCUUUGAGUAUAUGACGCCAGUUGUAUAUGAGCCAUUGUUGAGAUACCACUCUUUCUUAUUUGGGUAGCUAACCAGCUUGAGUUAUCCUCAAGUGGGACAAUGUCUGGUGGGUAGUUUGACUGGGGCGGUCGCCUCCCAAAUAAUAACGGAGGCUUACAAAGGU
Molecule: ribosomal RNA, 369 nt
Filed under: Campylobacter jejuni
Lineage: Bacteria; Pseudomonadati; Campylobacterota; Epsilonproteobacteria; Campylobacterales; Campylobacteraceae
Description: bacterial LSU rRNA
Rfam family: Bacterial large subunit ribosomal RNA
Source: RNAcentral